Molecule: non-coding RNA, 238 nt
Organism: Pelobates cultripes (western spadefoot toad)
Lineage: Eukaryota; Metazoa; Chordata; Amphibia; Anura; Pelobatidae
Source: the annotation of a GenBank genome assembly
AUUCAUUUAGCUUAUUCCACAAGUAACGUGGAAAUCACAGGCUCUGUAAAGGCCCAUUCUACUAGAGCUAUAUCUAUGUCCUGGGCUCUGCGAGCUGCGGCUACGCCUUCCCAGAUUUGUAAAGCAGCCACAUGGUCAUCGCUUCAUACAUUCUCAAAACAUUACAGGUUAGACAUACUGGCCUCAGAAGAUGCAGCUUUUGGGCGCAAGGUGCUACAAGCAGUGGUGAAAUGAAUCC